Long non-coding RNA from Myotis davidii, 159 nucleotides. RefSeq lists it as uncharacterized. NCBI's taxonomy places the organism in Eukaryota, Metazoa, Chordata, Mammalia, Chiroptera, Vespertilionidae. The transcript is spliced from 2 exons. The record is from RefSeq and is a predicted model, not a curated record.
UCUUCAUAAAUGCAUCCUUUUCUCUGCCCAACAUCCUGUGGUAGGACAUUAGUCCUUCUGGUCAUGAGUUGUUAUGGGCAAAAUCCUCCACCAGCAAAAAGAUCAUGACGUGCUAAAGGCUCAGGUGAUGGUUACCAUUUUUAAGCCAUAAAAUAUUUU